This 4873-nucleotide long non-coding RNA is filed under the name Sus scrofa (pig). RNAcentral's name for it is "lncRNA (ENSSSCG00000054927.1)". The record is from RNAcentral. Lineage: Eukaryota; Metazoa; Chordata; Mammalia; Artiodactyla; Suidae.
UUAAGUAUCAUGAGAGACAUUUGAAACUUGACCUAAUUGAAUCAGAGCAGAUUUGAUCAGCUAUAGUUUUUUUUUUUAACAGAAUAAAAUACAUAUAUUUAAACACAAUUACAUUCACACAGAUUAUUAUAUCAUGGAUCUUAAGAAACAGAUUAAGUGACUCCCUCUGGGGAAGUAGAAUGGAAAAUAUGCUGAGACAAAUAGGAAAUUUACUCUAUACUUUAUCCCAUUUUGUAUGGCUUUCAUCUUUACUAUUUAGUAUUAUCUAUUACAUUUCAAUUUUUCUUUAAAAUUAGCAUUAUAUUAAAAUUGUGUAUAUUAUGCAACUUAAAUUUAUAAAGAAAGCCUUAUAUACCAUUAAAUAUUUUAUAUAGCAUAAUAAAAAGAAUAACUCUUCGGUUAUUUUUUAUCUAAAAUUACAAAAUAGUGAGAGAACUUCCAUAGAGAAAGGAAAAGUAUAGAAGGAGGAAUAAGACUCAGAACACCCCAGUGGGCCACAUUUGCAGCUUUGUGACUUUCCCAGUUUCAUCACCUAGAAGGAUCUCACAAUACCUUUCUCCAGCCCUGCUCCAGUGCAGGUCAACCUCCACCUGUGCUCUCCAUUCCUCAUUACUGCCUCAGCCCAAAGUAAUCACCCUACCCAUCUCAACUUCUCCAGUGCAAUCUGUUUUAAAAUUAAGUACUCCUUUGUGAUAUCACUUUUCUGCUAUCAAAGCAUCAUUCAAUAUUAGUAUCUUUUAAAUAUGCACAGUUUAUUGCCCUGAUUUGAUUAUAAAUUCCUUGAGAGAAAGUUUUGUGUCAUUCACCCCAGAGUGUUCCCACAAGACCCUGGUAAGUUGCCAGAGUGGGCCCUGUUUUUUCAUCUGUAGAAUGGGGAUAAUGAUAGUGCUUAUUUUAUAGACCUAUUGUGAGAAGAAAAUGCAAUCGUGAGGAGUAAAUUAAGUGUGAUUCAGUAAGUGUUGAAUAGCAUAUUUUAUUAAUACUCUUAACAUUAUAUUAAGACAAAAUACAGGGCUAAAAAUAAGCAAAACCAAAAGCUGGUUCCACCUGUACCAAGUAGUAGCUUUGUGACUUUCAGAAAGUCAAGUAAAUUCUCUCAGCCUUAAAUUAUUCACUCAUAAAAAUCAUAAAUGCAAUAAUCUGCCAACUUUCUGUUGUUGUGAAGAUCAAAUAAAUACUUUUAGGGUGUUUUACAAAUGUAUCAUUUAUUGUUACUCAGUAAAUAUUUGAUUUGAGAAUUAUGUUGUCCUUACUUUAUCACACAAACAGCUUGUUUUUCUCCCCUUUGAGGCUGACAGGUCACCAGUAACGCAUCUUAUGGGCUUAGAGGGAGAAAAGCAGUACUUUGGAUCCUCUGAAUUUCCAAAAACUUGUUUGUGUUCUGGUGAUGCCCAGCAUCCUGGCCUCCUAUGGUCAUAGUCCAGGCUUAUCAGUGUUCUACAACACCAGAGCAAUCAAAAUAAAAAACGUAAAAUUUCUACUACCUAAGCUGUUGUUUUGUUUAAAGCAAGUAAAAUGUAGCUUUAAAUAGCCAGUUGAUCAACUCUGCCGGCAUAAUUGGCAAUGCCCAUACACUCCCUUGUGAGAGAAUCAGAAGAGAGCCGGAAAGCACCAAACACCCCAGGUAUGUCCUAGGGUGCCUCCCUUGGGGACAAAAACUUUCUCCAGCCUAAGUACAGAGGAGCCUCAGCACAGGCCCAGAAUGGGGUUCCCAGCCCAUGCCUAGGCAAGGCCAUCACUUUUAGGAAAAGUUAAGUGCAUCACAGAUUAAAUUGCACAAUUUGAUUUCCUUACUUCUUAUGGCCUAAACUUAUUCCUUUACUUGCAAACCAUAAAUACAAUCAUUCUUAUCUUUCCAAUUUCAUGUUAGCAUGUAUUAGAUGCCAGAGGCCAUCUAAGUUAUGUUAGCAACACACCAAAUAUUCAUUCGUCUAUCAAAUAAUUAUUUACCAUGUCUAGGUGCAAGCCACUGGAGCAUACAAAAUGAAUGAUACAAACUGGUAUUUUUUAGAUAACUCAUCUUAGUAUCAAUGAAAAUUUGUUUAUCUGGUGUUACCCAGCCAUAGUUUACAAUGUUUCCACCAAUAGUACUUUGGGGGAAAAAAGGAAAGCAUUACUCAGGUAAUAACACAUGGUUAAAAUAUAGAAUCUAGUGUUAUCUCUUCAUUAAAGACAAUGAAAGAUAUAAGAUUAUUUGGAAAAAUUAUUUGAUAUCCUGAUAUGCUCACACUCAUGGCUUCCUAUUUUCACUGUACAAGUGUAUUUUUAUCAGGUAUAGCAAACAACCCAAUAAAAAGGUAAAGUAUGGUUGAAGUAUACAGGCUUUAUGAUACUUCUUGAAAUUACUCUGCUUUUAUAGAGGAUGAUAUUCAUGCUGGAACAGCUAUAAAAAAUAUGGAAAUGUAAAAGAAGAGAGAUUAAAUAUGGGAUUUAUCUAUGAGCCCUGGCACAUUAAACCCUUAACAUAUUUGAAAUAUGACAACCACCUAGAUCCUCAACAUCAGGAUCAUACAGGGAAUUCUAAUGGUGACCUGCGCCUUCUCUUCCAAGAGUUGAAUUUUUGUUGUUUUAAAGAUUUUUUACAUAUUUGCUCAACUUGCCCAAUUACAGUACCUUGUCAGUUUAACCAGUAAGAUGAAAACAUUUGAUAUUUGUGCUGCUAGGUUACCCACCCUGACCUGACAUACAACAAGCAAAAGCUGGUCCUUGGCUUCCCCUUUCAGAUUCCCACAAAGUGGGAGCCUAGGCUAUGCCAUCAGGCUGGAAAUGGCAGCAGCAGCCGCCGCUGCAGCAAUCAUUGGGCGACAGGCAGGAUGCCCAGUUCUAAAUCCUCUGCCCAUGAAACACGCUGUACUGGUGCAUCAAAGUGGGGUCAGUCUUGAAUCUGCAAGCUGUUGGGGAACAACACGUCAUUCCUCCAUCUGUUACCUAUAGUGGCCUCCUAAUAAAGGUGCCAGCUGACAUCCUGGUCCUCUGCAGAGGGUGGUAAGAAAAGGCUAGUGCACCAAUCAUAUAUCAUUUCUGCAGGAUUGAAGAUAUGAUCAUCGGGAACUAUCAAGACCUUGGAAAAUAAAACCAGAGUGGUUGGAUGGGCAGCAAAAGAAUGAAAAGCAUGCCUGUAUUAAGCAGACCUGAGAGAAUGGCUGUAAGAGAGGUUUUAGUGUGGGCUUGGGAAAAAGAGGAAGGGGAAGUGAGAACAAAGAGAAAUCAUGGGCACCAAGGGACCGCUGGGGAGUAGAAGGUAAAGAGGUGAGAGACGAGGCAUACUUCCCAAAUCUGUCUUUCCUCUUCUUUCCACUGGGCAUCUUCUAGCUCUUCGCUUAUAUCUCACAUAUGCCACAUGAGUUGGUAGAUUAAAGCAACCUGGUAAUUAAUUUUUAGAAUAAAAAGACCCCAAAGAGUUCCAAUUUAAAAUGGCAUCUGGCUAAUGGCCCUGAUAUAGUCUCUUCCACUAAAACACACACACACACACACACACACACACACACACACACACUAAAAGAAAAAUAUUUACAUUGCCACCAAAAAUUGAGAUUGACCGUCAACUCCUUACCACUAACUGCAAGGUCACUGAACCUGGAUUUUUAAAGGCAAUUAGUGGCCACCUGUGAUUGCCACCAGGCUUAGAGAAAGCCCCUGUGUCUGAGGUUAGAAAGGCCCAUUAUACCUUCCCCACUGUCUGCCACCUGGCUCAUUAAAUAGACAGCCAAUCUUCUACUAUUAAGUGCUUUUUUAAAACUGGAGUGUUAUUUUCCUUUUACAUCCAACCCUUCAGAUACCCAGAAAGAAUCAGUCUGCAAAAAAGGAAUGAGGAAGCAAGUUUUGGAGGGGCCUCAUUCCAACCAGGAAGGUGUCCCCAUGAAGAAGGCACAAUAUCACAGAAGAGAGGGCAAAAAAAUCUCUGGCUACCAUAUACACUGAAUAGUACAAAUUUCAUGCCAGAGAGAAAGGUAACGAUGGCAGGGAAGACAUGGAAUGAAAACAUGCCAGACACCAGAAAUCCAGCUACAAAUGUGUGACAUCGAUUUACCUUUUGGAUGUAGCUCUGUAGAGGGAACUGAACCCAUAUUCAAGUGAACAGAAAAUAGAACCUGUGAAAACACCAAAUCUGGAUAGAUCUCCUAUGUUAAGAAAAGUGACAAAAAGAAUAACUAACAAAUGUAUUUUGAUAAAUGACAUAGAAAUAGAGAUAGAGACUAUCACCCUAAAGACUCAGAGGGAGCACAGACCUCCAAAAAUGAUUUAUCACAGGAAUUGAAAGAAAUUUUCAGAGAAAGUUUUUCCAUCUUCAAUAGAAUUCAAGAAGUCAUAGCCUCUCUGAGACAGGAAUAGAUAUCCAAGAUAUGAGAAUAGGUCAUGAGAAAAAGAGACUAAGGUAAGAUGAAAAUAAAAAUGUAUGAGAAAAAAAAAAGGAUUUAUGUUAUUGUAAAUCAAUAAUACUUCAAUUUUUAAAAAUAAAUGAAAGCUCUAAAAGGAAUUCUUACAACUCAAUAGCAACAACAAUAAAAAUGGGCAAAGGACUUGAAUACACAUUUAUCCAAGGAAGAUACCAACAAGCACAUGAAAAGAUGAUCAACAUCACUAACCCUCAGAGAAAUACAAAUCAAAACCAUAAUGCAAUAUCACCUCAAGCCCAUUAGGAUGGCCUCAAUCAAAAAAAGCAGAAAAUAGGAGUUCCCAUCGAGGCUCAGUGGUUAACAAAUCCAACUAGGAACCAUGAGGUUGUGGGCCUUGAUCAGUGGGUUAAGGAUCCAGCGUUGCCAUGGGCUGUGGUGUAGGUCACAGACUCGGAUCGAUCCCUGUUGUUGUGGCUCUGGCGCAGGCCGGCAGCGACAGCUCCGAUUAGACCCCUAGCCUGGGAAUCUCCAUAUGC